GACGAACGCUGGCGGCGUGCUUAACACAUGCAAGUCGAACGGAAAGGCCCUGCUUUUGUGGGGUGCUCGAGUGGCGAACGGGUGAGUAACACGUGAGUAACCUGCCCUUGACUUUGGGAUAACUUCAGGAAACUGGGGCUAAUACCGGAUAGGAGCUCCUGCUGCAUGGUGGGGGUUGGAAAGUUUCGGCGGUUGGGGAUGGACUCGCGGCUUAUCAGCUUGUUGGUGGGGUAGGGGCUUACCCAGGCUUUGACGGGUAGCCGGCCUGGGAGGGUGACCGGGCACAAGGCGACUGAGGUACGGCGCAGACGCCAACGGUAGGCAGCAGUGGGGAAUAUGGCACAAUGGGCGGAAGCCUGAUGCAGCAACGCCGCGUGCGGGAUGACGGCCUUCGGGGUGUAAACCGCUUUCGCCUGUGACGAAGCGUGAGUGACGGUAAUGGGUAAAGAAGCACCGGCUAACUACGUG
RNAcentral lists this ribosomal RNA (468 nucleotides) under uncultured bacterium. RNAcentral's name for it is "partial 16S ribosomal RNA". It matches the Rfam family "Bacterial small subunit ribosomal RNA", at positions 28 to 507 of the family's 1533-position model. The record is from RNAcentral.